AAUGAGCAACGACUCCGCCGCUGAGUCCCUUCAUAAAUUUGCCGGCACGCAUCCCGGGCCCGGCCUCCCGCUUUUCCAUGUUCAGACGGUCAAUUCAAGUGUGUCCUUCGAUCUAUCGUCCUUCUCCCUCCAUUCCUUUCCGUUUCCUUCUUUCCUCCUCUCUCUCGUCCGGAAAUCCUAAACCUAAUCUCUUUAAAGAAAUUUGAGGUCCCUCUUCUUUGUUUCUCCGCGAAGGAUCCACGAACAGUGAAAGAGGACGAUCUCUCCCGUCCAGAAACCCUAAUCUCCUUCAAGAAUUUUGUGGUCCUUCUUCUUCGUUUCUCUGCGAAANN
Molecule: long non-coding RNA, 332 nt
Filed under: Elaeis guineensis (African oil palm)
Lineage: Eukaryota; Viridiplantae; Streptophyta; Magnoliopsida; Arecales; Arecaceae
Description: long non-coding RNA (EGUI_LNC019449)
Source: RNAcentral